CCUAAUACGGAAAGAAUAGUAAAUAAAUACAUGCAUAUGACUGGAGAAAUAAGAAGUAAAGUUAGAGGUAAAUUUAGGUAUACAAUUUAAAUAUCAAAUACAUGCAUAGAAGUAAAAAUAAUUAGCGGCAAUCGUCAUGUUAAUUAAAAAUAUAAAUAAAUAGAUAAAAGUAAAAAUAAUUAGCGGCAAGUCAACUGUUACAAUCAAGAGUCAAAUAUUACAAUAAACAACUAAGCGUAUAUAAUUAUAUUACAAUUUAUUCAACAACGAAAGAUACGCAUGGUGCAGGCAUUCAGUAUCUGUUUGUAAAUUGAGGCUAUUAUUUUGUAGUUGAAUAUGUAACAUUUCAGAUGUCAGUCGCCUGCCUAAGAAGCAUUCGUUAUCUAAGGUUUUUAUGUUCUCCCCGUCAAAAUCAUGGUUGCAAUGUUCGUAUUCCAAUUGAUAUGUUUACGAUGAUCCGUGAUUCUGGUUUUCAAUUUCCUACCGGUCAAUACAUGUGUUCGCGCACUCUUUACCCGCGCUGACUCUCAUUAGCCUAUUUCUAAUUCAAUCAUUUAUAACAGUUAAAGAUAAUACUAACCUGUAAAAUUUUACGGAUGUAAUAAAACUAACUGAUUUUUAUAAAUUUUUGUGUGCUGAACAAGAAUCCGUUGUCAGAAUUUGGCAAAAUAAAAACGAUUAUUAUGUUCUGCGUGAUACCAUUGUUUUUGUGAUAGCUAAAUUCUAUAAGUUUCUAAAUACAAUCCGCUUUGUUCUCGAAUCUACCUAUUUUCAAUUCAACAGUAUAUAUAAACAAAAUUUUGACUCUCCCAUAGGCUCUCCGUUGUCCCCAUCGCUGAUUUAGUUUUGCAAGAUCUUGAGACAGUGGUGCUUAGAAUUUUUGACUUUCACGUUCCUUUUUAUUUCCGAUACGUGGAUGAUAUCGCUUUAACGAUACCUUCAGAUAAAGUAGUUUUCAUUUUGGAAUCUUUCAAUGCUUUUCAUCCUCGACUUCAAUUCACUAUGAAAAUUGGAAACAAAACUCUAAACUUUCUGGAUAACGCCAUAGUUUUUAAUGACGGUUUAGUUGAGUUUGACUGGUAUCAUAAACCGAGGUUUUCAAGUCGCUAUUUGAACUUUAACUCUUGACACCCUGUCUCGCAGAAGCGUGGUGUCAUCAUGGGCCUCGUUGAUCGCGCCUUUUUUUGUCCCAUCCAAAAUUUCACGAGAAGAACUUGAAAUUCAUAGUUAAUAUUCUCUUAGACAACGACUAUCCCUUGGAUUUCAUCUUUAACACUAUUCGAGUUUGACUGAGAUGUCUCUUUGCUAAGAAAUCCAAAAAACAUGUCAACACCCUAGACGUAGAAAAAAAAAUUACAUAGUUUACCGUUCCUUACUCUCCUUUAAUUUCUGACAGAUAAUAUCUUUAGAAUAAUAAUAUAAUUUAAUAAUAUCUUUUAUUACUCAAAUAUUAAAACUGCCUUUUACAGUAUGAAUAAGCUCCGUAAAUUUAUUAAAGUUCAAAAAGAUUCUCUUCCAAUUUCUUUUCGUAAAAAUGUAGUUUAUAAAGUCUCUUGCCGCGAUUGCGAUGCGUCUUACGUCAGGCAGACCGGUAGACAGUUAAAAACGUAUUUCCGAACAUCGAAAUCACAUCCAUAGAUACCUCUACCAAUUCUGUUAUUACUGAUCAUAGAAUUCAAUUGUGUCAUAAAUUUGACUGAAACGGCGUUCAGAUACUUCACCAUGAGAGGUUUUUUCACAAACAACUCAUCUCAGAAAUGUUACACAUUAAUCAACAAAGAAAUGGCCUUAACUACAGUCUGACACUGAAUGCGUCUGUAUCAUGCUUACUUAUCGAUCGUCAAUAAAUAACCUACGUGUUUUGUUUAUCUUACGUACUAUUUGUUUCGCGCUUAUUUAUAUUAUACUAUAUCAAAGCUUACGCGAAGCAUCGGUUUACUGGCUUAGUGCCUCUUUGACCAUCGUACUGUACGGUUCUUAUUAUAACUAAGUCCGCAACGUUUCAUUUUAAAUUUCUGAAUUUUGACAGUACUUACUUGUACCUGCGAUGUCUUAUUGUAAUAAGUUUAACUUGGAGCGCUAUUCGAUGCUGCGAUCUCUGUUUCUGCUCUUUUCAUUUACAGUGUAAGCUUGUACACAUUUUCAAGCCAAAUAACUCGUAAUGCAUGUCACUUCUCGACUAGGAAGCCCUCAACCUCACUACAGACAAAACGCAAUUUAACUCAUUUUUUUAUGUAUUUACGCUGAGGAUGGCUCAAAACUAGAGCCAAACGUUUGCGAUAUUUAUAAUUAAAUUUUUAUGAAAAUUUUCCAUGUAA
This is a long non-coding RNA of Solenopsis invicta (red fire ant), 2318 nucleotides long. RefSeq lists it as uncharacterized. The transcript is spliced from 2 exons. The record is from RefSeq and is a predicted model, not a curated record. NCBI's taxonomy places the organism in Eukaryota, Metazoa, Arthropoda, Insecta, Hymenoptera, Formicidae.